This 253-nucleotide ribosomal RNA is filed under the name uncultured bacterium. RNAcentral describes it as "partial 16S ribosomal RNA". It matches the Rfam family "Bacterial small subunit ribosomal RNA", at positions 524 to 776 of the family's 1533-position model. The record is from RNAcentral.
UACGUAGGUGGCGAGCGUUGUCCGUAUUUACUGGGCGUAAAGGGAGCGUAGGCGGACUUUUAAGUGAGAUGUGAAAUACUCGGGCUCAACUUGAGUGCUGCAUUUCAAACUGGAAGUCUAGAGUGCAGGAGAGGAGAAUGGAAUUCCUAGUGUAGCGGUGAAAUGCGUAGAGAUUAGGAAGAACACCAGUGGCGAAGGCGAUUCUCUGGACUGUAACUGACGCUGAGGCUCGAAAGCGUGGGGAGCAAACAGG